CAGUCGCCGCGGGAAUACGUAGGUGGCAAGCGUUGUCCGGAAUUAUUGGGCGUAAAGGGCUCGCAGGCGGUUUCUUAAGUCUGAUGUGAAAGCCCCCGGCUCAACCGGGGAGGGUCAUUGGAAACUGGGAAACUUGAGUGCAGAAGAGGAGAGUGGAAUUCCACGUGUAGCGGUGAAAUGCGUAGAGAUGUGGAGGAACACCAGUGGCGAAGGCGACUCUCUAGUCUGUAACUGACGCUGAGGAGCGAAAGCGUGGGGAGCGAACAGGAUUAGAUACCCGAGUAGUCCCUGUCUCUUAUAC
This 301-nucleotide ribosomal RNA is filed under the name uncultured bacterium. RNAcentral's name for it is "partial 16S ribosomal RNA". It matches the Rfam family "Bacterial small subunit ribosomal RNA", at positions 509 to 807 of the family's 1533-position model. The record is from RNAcentral.